Nannospalax galili (Upper Galilee mountains blind mole rat) is the source of this 106-nucleotide small nuclear RNA. The record is from Ensembl. Lineage: Eukaryota; Metazoa; Chordata; Mammalia; Rodentia; Spalacidae.
GUUCUCCCUUUUGCAGCAUAUAUUCUAAAACUGAAGCAGCUCAGAGAAGCUCAGCACAUCCCUGUGUAAGGAUGGCAUAUAAAUUCAUGGUGCAUUCCAUUUUUUA